UGGCGGACGGGUGAGUAACGCGUAAAGAACUUGCCCUUUAGACUGGGAUAACAGAGGGAAACUUCUGAUAAUACUGGAUAAGUUAGUAUAUCGCAUGAUAUGCAAAUGAAAGCUACGGCACUAAAGGAGAGCUUUGCGUCCUAUUAGCUAGUUGGUAAGGUAAGAGCUUACCAAGGCAAUGAUGGGUAGCCGGGUUGAGAGACCGACCGGCCAGAUUGGGACUGAGACACGGCCCAGACUCCUACGGGAGGCAGCAGUC
RNAcentral lists this ribosomal RNA (259 nucleotides) under uncultured Atopobium sp. Its description in RNAcentral is "partial 16S ribosomal RNA". It matches the Rfam family "Bacterial small subunit ribosomal RNA", at positions 96 to 355 of the family's 1533-position model. Lineage: Bacteria; Bacillati; Actinomycetota; Coriobacteriia; Coriobacteriales; Atopobiaceae. The record is from RNAcentral.